UGUGGGAAGUAGGGUGAUCCUAUGCUGCCGAGAAAAACUUCUAGCGAGGUUCGAGCCGCCCGUACCCCAAACCGACUCAGGUGGUUAGGUAGAGAAUACCAAGGCGAUCGAGUGAAUCAUGGUUAAGGAAUUCGGCAAAAUGCCCCCGUAACUUCGGGAGAAGGGGGGCCCACUGCCCUGAGACUCUUUACGAGUUAGGGGUGGGGGCCGCAGAGACCAGGGAGAAGCGACUGUUUACUAAAAACACAGGUCCGUGCGAAGAAGUAAUUCGAGGUAUACGGACUGACGCCUGCCCGGUGCUGGAACGUUAAGGGGACCGGUUAACACCUUUGGUGUGAAGCUGAGAACUUAAGCGCCAGUAAACGGCGGUGGUAACUAUAACCAUCCUAAGGUAGCGAAAUUCCUUGUCGGGUAAGUUCCGACCUGCACGAAUGGCGUAACGACUUCUCCACUGUCUCAACCAUGAACUCGGCGAAAUUGCAUUACGAGUAAAGAUGCUCGUUACGCGCAGCAGGACGGAAAGACCCCGGGACCUUUACUACAGCUUGGUAUUGGUGUUCGGUGCGGCUUGUGUAGGAUAGGUGGGAGACUGUGAAGCGCACGCGCCAGCGUGUGUGGAGUCAUUGUUGAAAUACCACUCUGGUCGUUCUGGGCUCCUAACUUCGGACCAUGAUCUGGUUCAGGGACAGUGCCUGGUGGGUAGUUUAACUGGGGCGGUUGCCUCCAAAAGGGUAACGGAGGCGCCCAAAGGUUCCCUCAGCCUGGUUGGUAAUCAGGUUUCGAGUGUAAGUGCACAAGGGAGCUUGACUGUGAGACAGACAUGUCGAGCAGAGACGAAAGUCGGGACUAGUGACCCGACGGUGGCUUGUGGAAGCGCCGUCGCUCAACGGAUAAAAGGUACCCCGGGGAUAACAGGCUGAUCUUGCCCAAGAGCUCAUAUCGACGGCAUGGUUUGGCACCUCGAUGUCGGCUCGUCGCAUCCUGGGGCUGGAGUAGGUCCCAAGGGUUGGGCUGUUCGCCCAUUAAAGCGGUACGCGAGCUGGGUUUAGAACGUCGUGAGACAGUUCGGUCCCCAUCCGCUGCGCGCGGAGGAAACUUGAGAAGACCUGUCCCUAGUACGAGAGGACCGGGAUGGACGAACCACUGGUGUGUCAGUUGUACUGCCAAGUGCACCGCUGAUUGGCUACGUUCGGAAGUGAUAACCGCUGAAAGCAUCUAAGCGGGAAGCACGCUUCAAGAUGAGGUUUCUAACAGGUUUAGGCCUGGUGAGGCUCCCAGUAGAUUACUGGGUUGAUAGGCCGGACGUGGAAGCACAGUAAUGUGUGGAGCUGACCGGUACUAAUAAGCCGAUAAC
Molecule: ribosomal RNA, 1354 nt
Filed under: metagenome
Description: bacterial LSU rRNA
Rfam family: Bacterial large subunit ribosomal RNA
Source: RNAcentral